RNAcentral lists this ribosomal RNA (441 nucleotides) under uncultured delta proteobacterium. Its description in RNAcentral is "bacterial SSU rRNA". It matches the Rfam family "Bacterial small subunit ribosomal RNA", at positions 1091 to 1525 of the family's 1533-position model. The record is from RNAcentral. Lineage: Bacteria; Deltaproteobacteria.
CACGAGCGCACCCCUUUCCUUAGUUGCCAGCACAUAAUGGUGGGGACUCUAAGGAUACUGCCCGGGAUAACCGGGAGGAAGGUGGGGAUGAUGUCAAGUCAGUAUGUCCCUUAUGUCCAGGGCUACACACGUGUUACAAUGGCCGGUACAAUGGGUUGCCAACCGCGAGGUGGAGCCAAUCCCAAAAAACCGGUCUCAGUUCAGAUUGGAGUCUGCAACUCGACUCCAUGAAGCAGGAAUCGCUAGUAAUCGCGCAUCAGCACGGCGCGGUGAAUACGUUCCCGGGUCUUGUACACACCGCCCGUCACGCCAUGGAAGUCGGCAAUACCCGAAGCCGGUGACCUAACCCGCCUUUUGGCGGGAAGGAACCGUCGAAGGUAAGGCUGGUAACUGGGGCGAAGUCGAAACAAGGUAGCCGUACCGGAAGGUGCGGCUGGAUCA